GGAUAUGUAUGGGUGAGCUCGUU
Molecule: microRNA, 23 nt
Filed under: Haemonchus contortus (barber pole worm)
Lineage: Eukaryota; Metazoa; Nematoda; Chromadorea; Rhabditida; Trichostrongylidae
Description: hco-miR-190-5p
Gene: hco-miR-190-5p
Source: miRBase by way of RNAcentral